RNAcentral lists this transfer RNA (76 nucleotides) under Streptomyces abikoensis. Its description in RNAcentral is "tRNA-Gly". The record is from RNAcentral. Lineage: Bacteria; Bacillati; Actinomycetota; Actinomycetes; Kitasatosporales; Streptomycetaceae.
GGUCGGCCUGGGCGACGGAGGGGACCUCGACGGUGCCGUCGUCGGCGAGCCCCAGUUCGAGGAGGGGGCCGGUGUC